Non-coding RNA from Pimephales promelas (fathead minnow), 265 nucleotides. The record is from RefSeq and is a predicted model, not a curated record. Lineage: Eukaryota; Metazoa; Chordata; Actinopteri; Cypriniformes; Leuciscidae.
ACACGCACAUACAUUGGCUCGCUGUUGUAGGGGCCCUUGAGAAGAAGGCCGAGUAUGUCAUCUCUCAUUUCCUGUCCACUCACCCUCCAUUUCCCCCUUUCUCAGUAUUGGUUUCCUUUUCUUCUUGUGCUCUUCGUCUGUCCGAAAAAAAGAAGAAAAAAAAACUCAUGCCUGUGAGACAAGGAGCUCACUCAUACAAAGGGAGUUUGAGAAGCUAUUCUCCCAGAAGCAAAUAACAGCAUAUGAGUUUGCAACAACAUGAUGG